GGGCUCAUGGCCUAAUGGUAAGGCGUUAGAUUUCGGUUCACCAAGAUCAUCUCUCUAAAGAUUGCAGGUUCGAUCCCUGCUGAGCUCG
This 88-nucleotide transfer RNA is filed under the name Hypoxylon rubiginosum. RNAcentral describes it as "tRNA-Arg". It matches the Rfam family "tRNA". Rfam says of the family: Transfer RNA (tRNA) molecules are approximately 80 nucleotides in length. Their secondary structure includes four short double-helical elements and three loops (D, anti-codon, and T loops). Further hydrogen bonds mediate the characteristic L-shaped molecular structure. tRNAs have two regions of fundamental functional importance: the anti-codon, which is responsible for specific mRNA codon recognition, and the 3' end, to which the tRNAs corresponding amino acid is attached (by aminoacyl-tRNA synthetases). tRNAs cope with the degeneracy of the genetic code in two manners: having more than one tRNA (with a specific anti-codon) for a particular amino acid; and 'wobble' base-pairing, i.e. permitting non-standard base-pairing at the 3rd anti-codon position. The record is from RNAcentral. Lineage: Eukaryota; Fungi; Ascomycota; Sordariomycetes; Xylariales; Hypoxylaceae.